UUACGGCCACAUCACGUUGAAGUACCGGUUCCCGUACGAUUACUAAAGUUAAGCAACGUCGAGCCUGGCCAGUACCUAUAUGAAUGACUGCUUGAGAAUACCAGGUGUUGUAAG
Acanthosepion pharaonis is the source of this 114-nucleotide non-coding RNA. The record is from the annotation of a GenBank genome assembly. Lineage: Eukaryota; Metazoa; Mollusca; Cephalopoda; Sepiida; Sepiidae.